Capsicum annuum is the source of this 1118-nucleotide long non-coding RNA. RefSeq lists it as uncharacterized. The transcript is spliced from 2 exons. The record is from RefSeq and is a predicted model, not a curated record. Lineage: Eukaryota; Viridiplantae; Streptophyta; Magnoliopsida; Solanales; Solanaceae.
UUUUAACAAACACAUUAACAACAAAAAGAGGGGGGCCCACGUGUUAUUCUUUUGGUCUGCUUUCUUUCUAGAUGAUAAAGGGGGAUACAAAAUUCACACAGAGGGGGAGAUUCACACACUCCACUAUUAUUCACCAAAAGGAGGAGCUCACUGGAACUCUCCAUUUUUUUUGGAACCACAAGAUAACAGCUACACAUCAACACACAAUUCUCUCAUCAAGAAACCACUACACACAAAACCAUUACCAUCAUCUUUCAUUUUCAUCUUCUACAGAAGAAUAGAAUCCACUCGCACCACACCUCACGGGAAUUCACCACAGGGAGAAGAUAAUUCUCCAUUUUUCAUCAUCUGCAUUCACCCACUGAUUUAGCAAGAUAUUCAAACACGCACGCACACACUCCUUCAACCAUGGACUGAAAAUAGAGAAUCGGGAGAGAAAACACGUGAGGGAGAGAGAUAGCGAAAGCGAGAGAGUUUUUGAUGAAAUUUCUCACCGUAAUCGGUGUUCCCUUAUCAAAUCCGACCACCUGCAGACCCAAAAAUCCCUGAAUCCUCUUCGUCUCUUGUUCUCCGGUGACAUAUCACCGAAAUCUUCAAUCGAGGAACAUUGUCGACAUUGUUUGUUAUCGUUACGGCUGAAUUCGACCUGAAACACCAUCUUCGGCCAUAUCCUACCGUUGAGGCAAUCCAACCAGCCGCGUCCUCGCCUAAACAGUGGGAAAACAGCUCGGUUUGCACAAAAUUGGAUUCAGAUUUGUUUAUUUUUGACGAUUUCUAUUUCUGGUCAGUAGAAAACAAGGGAGGGAUCAUACCGUAGCUGGGAUUCACUGUUGAGGUUUGAUUCGAGGUUCAUCGGUGCCGACUCUAUCGAAUUUAAUCGAAAUAAUAUAUCGAAUUGAGAAAGCUUUAAAUCGAGGAAAUGCCCCGAAGUAUCUUGUACUUGGAGGACGUUCGUGAUGAAGGCCCGAGGCAUCGGGUGAGACAUUAGAGCUUAGUCUAUGAUUAGUUUAGAAUAGGAUUUAUAUUUCCGUAAUUUUCUAUUUUGAGACUGUAUAACUCGGACUGAACACUAUAGUUUGGAUUCGUUUUGUUUUGUUUGUUUGUUUGAUUGUUUUACA